Molecule: non-coding RNA, 2771 nt
Organism: Urocitellus parryii (Arctic ground squirrel)
Lineage: Eukaryota; Metazoa; Chordata; Mammalia; Rodentia; Sciuridae
Source: RefSeq, a predicted model, not a curated record
CGUGGGGGGACAGGAACCGGAAACAGAUGGGGAGCUGGUCCAGGCUAGGAUCAAAACACAACAACUUGAUCUGUCAACCUAUUGUGUCAAUCUUGAAACAUCAACCUCAUCUGGGGAAGAGGUUGUACUUGACUUGUCUGGAGAUUGAAAAGGAAUAGUCCCUGCCCUGUGGGAGGCCCACAUGUGAUGGAAACACACCCAGAGCCUGGAAAACUGUGAGAAGCAAGCAGAGUGCCAAGUGACAGCAGCAUGGCUGUACCCCAGGCUUUCUCACUGGGGCCCCUCCACGAGCCUGUAGGUGCCCUGAUGGAGCCCCAGCUAUGUCCUCAAAGCUUGGCUGAGGGCUUCCUGCAGGAGGAGCUUCGGCUUAAUGCUGAGCUAAGGCAACUGCAGUUUUCAGAGCCUGUGGGCAUCAUCUACAAUCCAGUGGAUUACGCAUGGGAGCCACAUCGCACCUACGUGACUCGUUACUGCCAGGGCCCCAAGGAAGUGCUCUUCCUCGGCAUGAACCCGGGACCUUUUGGCAUGGCUCAGACUGGGGUGCCCUUUGGGGAAGUGAGCAUGGUUCGAGACUGGUUGGGCAUUGGGGGGUCUGUGUCACCUCCUCCCCAGGAGCAUCCCAAGCGACCAGUGCUGGGACUGGAGUGCCCACAGACAGAGGUGAGCGGUGCCCGAUUCUGGGGCUUUUUCCGGAACCUCUGUGGACAGCCUGAAGUCUUCUUCCGUCAUUGCUUUGUCCACAAUCUGUGUCCUCUGCUCUUCCUGGCUCCCAGUGGGCGCAACCUCACCCCUGCCGAGCUGCCUGCAAAGCAGAGAGAACAGCUUCUUGGGAUUUGUGACGCAGCCCUCUGCCGGCAGGUGCAGCUACUGGGGGUGCGGCUGGUAGUAGGAGUGGGGCGACUGGCAGAGCAGCGGGCACGACGGGCCCUGGCAGGUCUGAUGCCAGAGGUCCAGGUGGAGGGCCUCCUACAUCCUUCUCCCCGGAGCCCACAGGCCAACAAGGGCUGGGAGGUGGUAGCCAAGGAAAGGCUCAAUGAGUUGGGGUUGCUGCCUCUGCUGACAAAAUGAGUGUCCCCAGGGCCUGGCCUAGGACAGUCAAGGCCCCCAAGUCAUUCUUGCACUGGUGGAUGACUACACACCGCCUGGACUGGCGCAACAGGGCCUUCCUGGGCUUUCUGUUGCCAGGAAACAUGUUCUUUGAUCUGUUGAAUUGUCCCCCAGCCUGCAGAGGCAGUCUCUAAUUACCAGGGUGAGUAGUUACUCAACUCCUGUACACCAUCUUGCUUCCUGUGUCCUUGACUGUCCUUUGAGCAUUGCCCCUUUUGUCUUACAGUGUUGGCUCCACAGAAUCAGCAGAAGCAUUCUUUUUUGUGAGACUUGUGAACUCUGAUGGAAAAAUGGAUUAUCCUCUCUAAGUCUCAGGAUCCUCAUCUGUAAAUGGAGAUACCUCCCUCACGGGGUUGUUUGAGGAUUAACUGAGAAAACACUUGAAAGUGCCUUGUGAUGGCCUGGCACUCGGGUGCUCACUACAUAGCUUUCUUGCUUUCUGUCUGUGUUGGACAGUCAUUGCACUACAGAGGAAACUCCUUUCUACUUUGAAAGCCUGGCUGGGGUCGGGAAGUCUUGCCUACCAGAAAUGGAUCAUGACUUUAUGAAAACCCAACCUGUCAUUCUUCAAUUUAAGCAUUAAAAGUUCCUAAACUCUUUUGUGGUGGUACUUUUUUCCCCUCUGCAUGUCAGGGGUGGGAGAUCUGUUGUUGAGAUUUUUUUUUCUAUACAUACCUCUUCACUGUUUGCAAAAGGUUUUCUUGGGUAGCUGGGGGAGGGAUGUAACAGAUUUCUAAAUGCUUCAGCAAAUUUGCAGGGUGGUGGUAGUGGCUUGUCUAGUAGUUUUUCUGAUACUUGGGGCACAUGGGGAAGACGGAUGGGGUGGCCUGGCAUCUGACUCAUUUCUUUUUGUCUGCUGAAUGGCUGGUUGGGUGCCCCUUUUUUUAAGAACUGGGAAAAUGAACCAAGUUGAAAGCAAAACAUGCCUUGAGAUCAUCUUAUUGAGGAACACAUGGUUUACUCCUGAUUUCUUGGGACACAGGUCAUCUCCAGUUAUUUCAAAAUUAAGAUCUUUAGAAUAAAUUCUCCUCCCCUCAUAGCAUAGAAAGGAAUUUGACCUGCCUCUGUCUUCAGAUCCUGAGAGGGAGAUUUCUAAAUCCUGGGAAUUUCCCCAGUGAUAGGUGUAUCUUUGUUAUGGUGGGUCCUCCAAACCACACCUGAAAUUAACAAUGUUGAGAUUUGACCAUAGACCACACUUUGUAUUGAAAUUUGAUCUUGGACCACAGCUGAGUUUUAUGCUAAGAUUUGACUCAGGAUAUAGGCUGACCAUGCCAGAAAGACCAACUAACACUUAGAGGAUUGGGACUUUCUUCUGGGUGAUGUAUCAGCCUGAUCUCCAGGGAGGAGACGGUAACACAGACUGAGUGCAACCACAUGGCCCUUUAUUUCAAUCAAUGAGGCCUUUGUAAAGAAACCCUAGUAAAAAUGUUGAACACCAAGGUUUGUGUCAUCUUCCUGGUUGGUAAAAACAUGGAUGUGUUGGGAAGGUGAUAUGUCCUGGUUCUAUAGGCAAAGGACAUGGAUGUGUGUUUGGAAUACGUCCAGAUCUUGCUUAUGUUUCUUUGUGUUUGGAUGGCCCUGAUUUGCAUUCUUUUCUGCAGUGUUGGGGAGGGAACCCAGGGCCUUAUGCAUGCUAAGCACAUGCUUUACCACUGAGCCAUACC